GGCCUCACUUUGCAGUUAGAGCCUUGUGCACAGCUCUGUAGUGUCCUGCUAAGCAGUGGUGGAGCCCAGAAGCAGAAUGUAAUUGACACAGAUGCAGUGCUUCCAAAAUGGGGCUUCAACUCAUUGUGCAGCUUUGUGACAUCGAAGGAGGCUGUGACUUUGAGAAGGGUAAUGGAGCCAGAUCCUUCAACAGUGUCAUCUGGGUGCCCAGCCCCCCUGGAGGUUUGAAUUCUAACAAAACCUGGAACAAAUCUGCUUGGUUUGGAGGUUUCAGCAGAUGGAUAACAAUAUGUGCAGAGGACAGGAAAGAAUAAAGCAACUUGGUAAAACGAAGAUCACAUAUUGCAGAACCUACUGACUGAAACCACGAAGCUCAGCAUCUGCCAGCAAAGGCUGCCUGAGGAAUUAAAGCACAGAAUCAGAGACAAUUACAGGAAUGCAGGACAAAAUUCAGACACUGGGGGUCAUCAGAUAGGCUUGCAAAAACAAACAGGCAGGUUUGCAGAAGUUGCAGACUCCUCCUGUGCAGGCAAGUGAGCUGAAAGUGCAGAAUGUGGAGUGUUGUUGAGAACGGGAGAAGAGGUGCAGAAGAGGCGCUGAUUCUCUUUGAGUUCUCUGCUGUUUCAGCACCUCAGACCCAGUGGGCCGGGGCCCUUGGGACAGCAUGUCGUGUGUAUGUAAGCUCCAGAGAUCUCAGUCAGCCCACCUUCCAAAUUAGGAGGAUGUUAAUUAAUCUUCUCUACAUCCUGUGCUCUCCUAGCAUCCUUUUCACAGGCAGGAGAGCACCCCUUUCCAAGCACUUUAUAUCCCAGCAGAGAAGGCAGCAAAGUGAGAGCUGGAGCCUCUGCUGACAGAUCACUUGGAUGAAUACGAAUAGGAAAAUUGACCCCAUCCUGGCUCCUGCUGUUCCCUGCCAAAGGAGGAGAUCGGUUUGUGUUGUCUCCUGCUGUCCUGGAUCUGACAGAAGGUCUCAGAAGUGCAGAGCCUUUCUCUGACCCACCUCCUGUGCCCCAAGCACACUUCCAACUAAACAGCACUGUGGUAUUUUACAAAUUGUGUUUAGCUUUUAAUGAUUUGCUAUAACAUGCUUGAUUAAAAACCCGACUAAAUUCCAAACCUAAUGAACCUUGAACUUUCACAUUAGAUACAUUAAUUAUGGUGGUCCCAGUGGCACGCUAGCACAGGAAAGUUAUCCUGCCACAUUAAUAUGAAAAUGAAGAGUUGCUGUAAGAACUAAAUUAAAAAAAAUAGACAAAUAAGACUCUACUGCUAAAGCAGUUGUGCCUCUGAAUUAAGUUACUGUCUUUUGUUUCUCCUCUUUAAUUAAUCAGAUGGCAGCAGCAGAAGCAACAUUCCCAAAGGCAUUGCUUAAAAAGCCAUGGACUGAUGGGAAGCAACAGAAAUAACCAACGACUUUGCCAUUGGUGCUUAGAUGCCAUAGCAAUGAUGAACGUGAGGUGCAGAGACAGAUAGAUCAAUUUGCUAUUCAUUAAUAUUA
Molecule: long non-coding RNA, 1498 nt
Organism: Gallus gallus (chicken)
Lineage: Eukaryota; Metazoa; Chordata; Aves; Galliformes; Phasianidae
Exons: 3
Source: RefSeq, a predicted model, not a curated record